Molecule: long non-coding RNA, 1966 nt
Organism: Pseudophryne corroboree (corroboree frog)
Lineage: Eukaryota; Metazoa; Chordata; Amphibia; Anura; Myobatrachidae
Exons: 3
Source: RefSeq, a predicted model, not a curated record
ACAAAAAAAGGAGAUGAAAGUUAUAUUAGUAUCACUCUUCACAUAUAUAAAGUUGGCCCAGAAUUUUAUAACAUUCCUAUCACAUGUAUGGCAGUGGGCACAAGUGGACAAGACCAUUCAACUCUAUAUCUGAGGAAAAGUAACACAGGCCAACCCCUUUGGGCGUUCAUCAUUCCUGUGUGCAUUGUUGUUCUGUGUUUAAUGGUGGUCUCUGCAUACAGACACUUUAGAGUUGGUGUUACUCAUGAAUGUAAUACAAGUGGCUUGAAGCUUCUGAUGGUGUGGUAUGGCUGCAAUGAGGAGAGACAGGUGGACACACAUUUACUGCUGCAUCCGCCUAGAUCACCAAUGAGGAGCAGAGAUGGAAACAUCAACGACAGUUGUACUAUCUGAUUUCAGCAUCUGAACAGAGAUGGUAUUCCAGUAGAUCUUUGACAGAACCCUGUCCAUGGACUGAAGACAUUGUGUUGCUCACUGCCUUCACACAUUUCUGUUUAUAUUAAAUUGUUAUUAAAAAAUAAUAAAUGCCCGGGCUAAUGUAGCAUCCAGCUCUAUCUGUGUUUGCAUUAAGGAGAACACCUAUAAGCUUUUCUAUAGAUGCUAUUACGUUCCGUCUUGGCUAAACUAAAUGAACACUGAGAUCUCUGACCUCUGUUGGAGAUGUGGUUCCGGCACUACAUCAUUUCUGCAUAUAUGGUGUAGUAGCUGCCCACGACUGAUCCGCUUCUGGACUGACAUUAACACCCUUUGUCACUUCCAUAACCGGUUUGACUGUAGCUCUCAAUCCCAAAUACUUCCUGUUACCUCUUAGUUUCCCGGGCUCCACAUAUCCAAAACAUGAGCUGUUCAGACACAUAUUAUCAGCGGUGACCUGUCAGCAGCAUACUGAAAGUGUGAGUAAUUUCCUACUACUUAACUGAUUAUAUUGUAGCUAAGAUUUGGCACUCUUAUAUACUGGAACAUAACUAGCAUUCUGGGGCAUAUUCAGUAUGAAUCGCAAGUAGCGAUUCAUAUGGAAUUUUUGCUGAGGGGCCGCGGGCGCAUGCGCAGCAGGCCCCACUGCACAUGCGCCCGCAAUUUCUGCGGGGGGCCGCAGAAAUUAUGAUUGCCUCUGCCUGUCAAUCAGGCAGAGGCGGUUGCGGGGCGAGAAGGGGAUGGCAAUGCUCCAUUUUCUGGGCGGAAAUGGAACGUUGCGGGGGCGUGCCAGCCUAACCGGUGGGCUGGUAUGCACGAACAGGGGUGUGUCGGGGGUGCGGCUGCGUGACAUCACACACAGCCACUGUGACAACAAAAAUGGCACUGGGACUCCUGCGACCGCAGCUAAGCUGCGCCGGCAGGAGUCAUCCUUAAUUUCUGCUAACAAGCAGAAAUUGCAUGCUGUUCGCAAUUUCUGCUUGAAGCAAGGGGGGAGGUACCGGUCAGCAUGCUGGGCAGCCUUGCCCAGUACUGGGUGGCCCCAGCAUGCGUGCUAAUGGUUAGCAAAUUUUGCUGAUUAGCAGAAUUUGCUAACCUCACUGGAUUGGCCCCUCUAUAUGGAUCCUCCAAAAACAUUUUUCAAACUUCGCAGUCGUGGACUUCAUUUCAAUAUUCAUCCAGAGCCCUUCUGACAUUCUUGGUUCCCUUUCUUAUAUUUUGACUCCUCCCAUCACACACGUAUUUGCUUUUGAACUAACACUGAACCCCGUUGAGUAACCUUCUUCCCAAAACUGUCCUCCCCUCUUCCCUCUCUUUGCAAGUGGCCAGCCUGCUCCUCAUUUCUUUAUCUCUUUCUUACUAGGUCUGUCCUUUUAUCUCAUUCUCAUACACUAUUGUUAAAAGUGGGUUGAGCAAAUAUUUUUUGCAGCUAGUCCAUGGAUAGUCAUAACAUUGUUUUCCAGUUUGAUCUGCUGUUACACUGGUACUCUAAGGCUCAUACAAUUAAAUGUUAUGUACAUAUACUGUGAUUUUAUCUACUGUUUUUCUCUUU